This 240-nucleotide unclassified non-coding RNA is filed under the name soil metagenome. Its description in RNAcentral is "partial contains 5.8S ribosomal RNA, internal transcribed spacer 2, and large subunit ribosomal RNA". The record is from RNAcentral.
AACGCACGAGACCUGCGGACCUGCGGAGGGAUCAUUACUGAGUGAGGGCCCUCUGGGUCCAACCUCCCACCCGUGUCUCUUGUACCAUGUUGCUUCGGCGAGCCCGCCUCACGGCCGCCGGGGGGCAUCUGCCCCCGGGCCCGCGCCCGCCGAAGCCCCCUCUGAACGCUGUCUGAAGAUUGCAGUCUGAGCGAUAAGCAAAAAUUAUUUAAAACUUUCAACAAUGGAUCUCUAGAUCGG